Molecule: ribosomal RNA, 546 nt
Filed under: Triticum aestivum (bread wheat)
Lineage: Eukaryota; Viridiplantae; Streptophyta; Magnoliopsida; Poales; Poaceae
Description: partial small subunit ribosomal RNA
Source: RNAcentral
AUGAUGGCAAUUACAUUGGAGAAUUUGCCUUCUAUGCCUGCUGUUGUCAGAACAACUAUUGGAAGUUUCUCUCUCAAAAAAAAAACUAUUGGAAGUUUGCUGAUACUUUGCCACAUAAUCUCUUUAACAUCAGUAUCUACAGACGCUCCUAUGCAGGUGUUUCCAGAAGCACUCCUCCAUCAGAUAUUGAUAUCCAUGGUACAUCCAGACGCAGACACUCGUGCGGGGGCGCACCACAUAUUUUCUGCUGUAAUUUUCCGAGGCCCAAGCCAUCAGAGGGAAGAGCAAAGGCACAGCGCCUUAGCCUACCAUAUCUGCCACUCAUUCUACAUCCGACGCACAGGAUUGAUGAGUGCAAAACACACCCAGACUUGGAAAGUCUUGGAUUUGUUGAACCUGCUGUGCUUGUUGCGCUCCAGUUUCUUGACGAUUUGCAGCAUGAUUGAGGUGCCUUGGGAGUUCCAUCCAGAUUUAGCUCUUUUCCUUGAUGGCCCUGCAAGGUGGCUGAUCCAUGAGGAGCUGGUUGUGGCCUGUCCGCUGUACUAG